Long non-coding RNA from Papaver somniferum (opium poppy), 503 nucleotides. RefSeq lists it as uncharacterized. The record is from RefSeq and is a predicted model, not a curated record. Lineage: Eukaryota; Viridiplantae; Streptophyta; Magnoliopsida; Ranunculales; Papaveraceae. The transcript has 2 exons.
GGAUCCUCGUCGACGCACUGCUUUGCCAACAUCGCAACCUACAGAAGAAUUGUAAACAGCACAACAAAGAGGAGAUCAGAUGAAUAUUCUACAAAGAAACCAGGAGUGAGUUAUACUAUGGGCAACUUCAAUUCAGUAAAAGUGAAUCAAGCGCGAUGACUACGUUCUUACUUUCCGAUUGGAGUUCUAAUAGGUGUGAGUCAUCAGCUGCAGUGAUUUUGGCCUAGAGAAGCUUGCGGAAUAUCCAGAGGACCACCGCUGACAAGUAACAACUGGGCUACCAUUCAAGAGCAUCAUGCAUGGGUAAAUCGACUAUAGGUAACCGUGAUUCUAUUAUCUAAUUCUUUCUUUGCCAUUUCAAGUCCCGACUUUGUGUGUUUUCAGUUCCUGGACAUCCAUCCUAUAUUGAGAUUAUCUCAUGAUUUUCAUCUCGCCUUGCCAUGUUUAAUUCUUCACCGAAUAAAUAAGUUGAUAACGACCUCAGAAACGGGGUAAGCCUAUUA